GGUCUUUGCCCUAGCCGACGUGCAUCGGAUUGGCAGGGCACGCGGCCAAUGAGCAGUGCGGACUGAGGCGCGGCACGGGGAGGAGGCGUGGAAGGGGAUCCCGUGAGGGCGGAUCCCUUGGACGGGGAUUAAAGAAAAGAAAAAGUCUGAACCGGCGGUCGGCCUCCUGGGAUUUUAUCCGAGGAGCCUGCAUUUAAACCCUUCCUGCCUCACUCUUCCUUUUUCCUGUUUGUCCUGCCGCUUUAAACUCUGGUUUCGCCUUCCUGUUCAUUCCAUUGCUUAUUUUAGGUCGCAAGUGCUUUAUCCACUGCUUUGAGUUUUUGACUGGAAAACCCAUAAUAUAAUCAGUCAAAACCCACACGUUGAAACACCAUAAAGUCACCCAGUCUCGGUCACCCUGGCACACACGGGGUUGUGAUCGUGACCUAGUCAUGUUUCUGACUCCGCUCAAUGGAAUGGAAUGAUUUUCUUUGGCUGUGCUGAGGUUAAUAUUGGAGGCAUAAACCCUCCGAGAAGGUAGAUGAAAAGGAGCGCGAUUCACUUCCUCCUGUUUAACAGGAAUGUGAGGACAGGUCUGGAAAAUACCCUGGCACCAGUUAACAGGUUUAAAAGGGAGUUUCAUUCAUAUAAAUGAUCAAGAUUGUGACUGGCAUAUACAGUGGAAAAGGAAGAAGGGCAAGUGUUUUACUAUGAUUCUCCUUUCAUUUUUAGAUUUGGAACCUGAACACCUAAGUUACAAAGGCAGAAGAUCUGGCAGCUUCAACACACUUGUUUCAUUACCUUCACACCCAGGGAGCUCUGCAGCUCUGCCCCAGGAGAGGAAGGAGAUAUUAGGGAACUGGGCUGGGGAAAAGUGCUGGAUAUUUUUCAUUCUCCCUAAUUUUAAAAGCGAUCACAUAUGGGUCAUACGCCCCUUUUACUACCUAUAUGCCCAUCCUGCCACCUCUAAGACAUAAAGUUCCAUAGCCAGAGAUACAGGACUGGUGAAAUGAAGAUGGCUUAUGAUGAAACCUGCUGCCUUCUUAAAAUUGCAACCACUGCACCUUUUCUGGAAGCCAGAUCAAGUUUCAGAUCAGUGAUUUCAUUCAACACGUAUUCUGCAAAGCGCCCACUCUACAGAAGAAGGCAUCAUGCUGUAGUAGAAAGAACAAGUGCUCUCAGUCAGACGGAUCACAGUGUGAAUCCCACUGCAUCCAUGUUUAUACUCCUAUAUUCCCCCUAUAGAGCUGGAAGCUGAACAAAUGGAAGCUGAACAAAUGCUGUGUCUAAUUUUUAAUCCUAACACAACAGUUUUUA
This 1296-nucleotide long non-coding RNA is filed under the name Homo sapiens (human). Its description in RNAcentral is "HSALNT0212178". The record is from RNAcentral. Lineage: Eukaryota; Metazoa; Chordata; Mammalia; Primates; Hominidae.